RNAcentral lists this long non-coding RNA (1303 nucleotides) under Homo sapiens (human). Its description in RNAcentral is "HSALNT0202667". Lineage: Eukaryota; Metazoa; Chordata; Mammalia; Primates; Hominidae. The record is from RNAcentral.
GGAAAACAGACUUGGAAAAUAUGAGUUGAUGGACCCUGACAGCCAGUUUCUGAGGUUUGUCCUUCCAGCCAGCCAGUCAUGGGAGAUCGUUACACUUUGACCUCAAAAUCUUUGCCUGCCUCCCAAGUUCUCCCACAGCACUAUACAUUCACAUCUGUUUAGAGCCCGCUGCUUGCUGGACAUACUUUAGUCUCAGCUUUGGAGGAAGAUGGCUAGCUCUUGGAAAUCUUUUAGAUCUCUUAGAAACACUUUUGUAUACUAUUCAUUUAUUUUGUGUGUGUCUAGUGCACAGGAAAAAGCUCAGUGUAAUAAAAUUAACAACUGCAGCUGUAGAAUGAGUAAUACCGCAACCCAAGCCUAAGACUGGCAAGUCACAAUGCUUUGCCAGCCCUUGAAUGGAAGUCACUCAUGUGGGAAACAGAAAAUCCAUCUUUCAAUUGUCCCAGAAGGUUCUUUCUCAACAUGAAUGUUUCUAUAAGUUGUUUAUAUCCCGUUGACUGUAACGCUAUUACCUCGAUUGGGAACAGAUGUUGAUAAAAAAUAAAUUUGGAGAAGCUGAAUGUUUUCUCUAAGGACACACAGCAAGUUAGUGGGAGGCUGGAGCAAAACUGAUCAGCUUCCUGGAGGUGGGCCCACUCUCUGGAGCUGUCAGGGUACUCUUCCUGCAACUGAAGGUCAUUCCUCUUUGUUAGAAGACUAAGGGUCCCUGACCUGAUCUGUGGAGCACCAGGGUGGAGAGAGUGGAAUAAGCAGCAAAACGAAAAAUUGGAUGCUGUUUUCAAAAGUUUUGUUCUCAUUCUUGGAUUAUAGAUUAUCUAAAGGGAAAAUUUAACUCAACCAAAAAAUUCGUUCAGCUCCAUGAAGCUAAAGAUGCUAUAAACUGACUCUUUCCUAAAGAGCACCAAACCUGAAAUUUUUCCUGCUAGAGAGGAACUAAUCUUCAAGGACACCUGUCUAUUGCUAGACAUUAAGAAGGAAGGUGAACUCCGUUCUGUCUUCAUAAAACACAUUUUUGUCUUUCCCCCUCACUCCUCCACUGAACCCACUAUGUUUACAAGUACAAGCUAUGACUGUGGAGGUGGAAAAUCUGAUACUGUCAGCACAAGUGGAACAAAAUGAAAAGAGAAAAAAAUCUACACACCCAUCUGGACUUCCAUAUGCUCUGUAGCCCAGAGGCUAAUAUAAUUCCUUGAAUGUUGGUUAUAAAGCAAUGUGAUAUGGAUGACUGCUAUGCACUGAGCUUAUUUAGACAAGUGUUCUUUCUACUCAAUAAACCUUUGAAAGGAUUAAAGUACAAUCACUC